GAUGAACGCUGGCGGCGUGCUUAACACAUGCAAGUCGAACGGAAAGGCCCAAGCUUGCUUGGGUACUCGAGUGGCGAACGGGUGAGUAACACGUGGGUGAUCUGCCCUGCACUUCGGGAUAAGCCUGGGAAACUGGGUCUAAUACCGGAUAGGACCACAUUUUGGAUGGUGUGGUGGAAAGUUUUUCGGUGUGGGAUGAGCUCGCGGCCUAUCAGCUUGUUGGUGGGGUAAUGGCCUACCAAGGCGUAGACGGGUAGCCGGCCUGAGAGGGUGUACGGCCACAAUGGGACUGCGAUACGGAGCAGACUCCUACGUGAGGCAGCAGGGGGGAAUAUUGCCCAAUGGGGGCAAGCCUGAUGCAGCGACGCCGCGUGGGGGAUGACGGCCUUCGGGUUGUAAACUCCUUUCGCUAGGGACGAAGCGCAAGUGACGGUACCUGGAGAAGAAGCACCGGCUAACUACGUG
RNAcentral lists this ribosomal RNA (465 nucleotides) under uncultured bacterium. RNAcentral's name for it is "partial 16S ribosomal RNA". It matches the Rfam family "Bacterial small subunit ribosomal RNA", at positions 28 to 507 of the family's 1533-position model. The record is from RNAcentral.